CAAGGAAUAGUUUAAAUGUUUAGAACUCUAGCUUUGGGAGCUGGCGGUAGGUGUUCGAGUCCCCUUUCUUUGA
This 73-nucleotide transfer RNA is filed under the name Leiopotherapon unicolor (spangled perch). RNAcentral describes it as "tRNA-Pro". It matches the Rfam family "tRNA". From Rfam's summary of the family: Transfer RNA (tRNA) molecules are approximately 80 nucleotides in length. RNAcentral also lists the same sequence under 1 other name. Lineage: Eukaryota; Metazoa; Chordata; Actinopteri; Centrarchiformes; Terapontidae. The record is from RNAcentral.